UACGUAGGGGGCAAGCGUUAUCCGGAUUUACUGGGUGUAAAGGGAGCGUAGACGGCAAGGCAAGUCUGAUGUGAAAACCCAGGGCUUAACCCUGCGACUGCAUUGGAAACUGUCUGGCUCGAGUGCCGGAGAGGUAAGCGGAAUUCCUAGUGUAGCGGUGAAAUGCGUAGAUAUUAGGAAGAACACCAGUGGCGAAGGCGGCUUACUGGACGGUAACUGACGUUGAGGCUCGAAAGCGUGGGGAGCAAACAGG
This 253-nucleotide ribosomal RNA is filed under the name Fusicatenibacter saccharivorans. RNAcentral's name for it is "partial 16S ribosomal RNA". It matches the Rfam family "Bacterial small subunit ribosomal RNA", at positions 524 to 776 of the family's 1533-position model. The record is from RNAcentral. Lineage: Bacteria; Bacillati; Bacillota; Clostridia; Lachnospirales; Lachnospiraceae.